This 605-nucleotide ribosomal RNA is filed under the name uncultured fungus. RNAcentral's name for it is "eukaryotic LSU rRNA". The stretch from base 237 to 390 matches the Rfam family "5.8S ribosomal RNA". The record is from RNAcentral. Lineage: Eukaryota; Fungi.
CUUGGUCAUUUAGAGGAAGUAAAAGUCGUAACAAGGUCUCCGUUGGUGAACCAGCGGAGGGAUCAUUACAGAGCUGCAAAACUCCCUAAACCAUUGUGAACGUUACCUAAACCGUUGCUUCGGCGGGCGGCCCGGGUCCUUCCCGGCGCCCCUCGGCCCUCGCGGGCGCCCGCCGGAGGUAAACCAAACUAUUGCAUUGUAUGGCCUCUCUGAGUCUUCUGUACUGAAUAAGUCAAAACUUUCAACAACGGAUCUCUUGGUUCUGGCAUCGAUGAAGAACGCAGCGAAAUGCGAUAAGUAAUGUGAAUUGCAGAAUUCAGCGAAUCAUCGAAUCUUUGAACGCACAUUGCGCCCGCCAGUAUUCUGGCGGGCAUGCCUGUUCGAGCGUCAUUUCAACCAUCAAGCCCCCGGCUUGUGUUGGGGACCUGCGGCUGCCGCAGGCCCUGAAAACCAGUGGCGGGCUCGCUAGUCACUCCGAGCGUAGUAAUACAUCUCGCUCAGGGCGUGCUGCGGGUUCCGGCCGUUAAAAAGCCUUAUUUACCCAAGGUUGACCUCGGAUCAGGUAGGUUGACCCGCUGAACUUAAGCAUAUCAAUAAGCGGAGGA